RNAcentral lists this unclassified non-coding RNA (290 nucleotides) under uncultured fungus. RNAcentral describes it as "partial contains small subunit ribosomal RNA, internal transcribed spacer 1, and 5.8S ribosomal RNA". The stretch from base 1 to 73 matches the Rfam family "Eukaryotic small subunit ribosomal RNA", at positions 1759 to 1831 of the family's 1831-position model. The record is from RNAcentral. Lineage: Eukaryota; Fungi.
ACAAACUUGGUCAUUUAGAGGAAGUAAAAGUCGUAACAAGGUCUCCGUAGGUGAACCUGCGGAGGGAUCAUUACCGAGCUCCUGCCCCUGUGGCAGAACUCCCACCCGUUGUGAUUUGCUACAAUUGUUGCUUUGGCGGGCCGUUGGGCUGCCCGGCCACUGGCCUUGUGCUAGUGCGUGCCCGCCAGAGACCCUUCAAACUCUUGAUGUUGUGUCGUCCGAGUCUUCUUUGAAUCGUUAAAACUUUCAACAACGGAUCUCUUGGUUCUGGCAUCGAUGAAGAACGCAGC